GAGUUUGAUCAUGGCUCAGAUUGAACGCUGGCGGCAGGCCUAACACAUGCAAGUCGAGCGGUAGAGAGAAGCUUGCUUCUCUUGAGAGCGGCGGACGGGUGAGUAAUGCCUAGGAAUCUGCCUGGUAGUGGGGGAUAACGCUCGGAAACGGACGCUAAUACCGCAUACGUCCUACGGGAGAAAGCAGGGGACCUUCGGGCCUUGCGCUAUCAGAUGAGCCUAGGUCGGAUUAGCUAGUUGGUGAGGUAAUGGCUCACCAAGGCGACGAUCCGUAACUGGUCUGAGAGGAUGAUCAGUCACACUGGAACUGAGACACGGUCCAGACUCCUACGGGAGGCAGCAGUGGGGAAUAUUGGACAAUGGGCGAAAGCCUGAUCCAGCCAUGCCGCGUGUGUGAAGAAGGUCUUCGGAUUGUAAAGCACUUUAAGUUGGGAGGAAGGGCAGUAAUUAAUACUUUGCUG
This 461-nucleotide ribosomal RNA is filed under the name uncultured bacterium. RNAcentral describes it as "bacterial SSU rRNA". It matches the Rfam family "Bacterial small subunit ribosomal RNA", at positions 9 to 471 of the family's 1533-position model. The record is from RNAcentral.